CAUUCGACUUUACGAAUUUACGAGAUUAUAUGAUAUUUUCUAUGACUCUGAAGUUAGAAACUUAUAGUAUAGUACAUUUGGAUGAAACGACAUAUUAAUAUUGUAAACAACUGUUUAAUUGUUAAAUAAUAAUUUAUACUAUUCUAUACUAGCAAUUUUAUAAAAUGAAUAGUUCAUCAGAUCCUAGGCGUCCAGAACGAGAAAUUCGUUAUAAACCUAAUGUGUCAAGCAAUCAAGCACAACCAGGCGAUAACUCAACUCCAGAUUAUAUGAAUAUAUUAGGAAUGAUAUUUAGUAUGUGUGGUUUAAUGAUGAGAUUAAAAUGGUGUGCAUGGGUUGCAUUAUAUUGUUCAUGUAUUAGUUUUGCUAAUUCGAAAGUGAGUGAUGAUACUAAACAAAUUCUCAGUAGUUUUAUGUUAUCAAUAUCAGCUGUUGUAAUGUCAUACUUACAAAAUCCACAACCCAUGACUCCACCAUGGGCAUCUGCAAUAUAAUAAAGGAAUUUUUAAAUUUUUAUGAAUUUCUAUGAAUUUUGAUCAUUAAUUAUGUAAUUAAUUUUUGGAAUACAUAUAUAUAUAUGUAUAUGUAUAUGUAUAAAUUUAAUACAAUAGUUUUAUCAGUAUGAUUUAAUGAUUUUUCAAUAUAAUAAUAUUAUUUAAACUAAAUAAGUUAAAAUACAAGAAAAAUAAAAAGAAAAUUGAAUCUAUAUUUUUAUUUUUUGAAAAUUUAUAUUUUAAUACAUUAAAUGAAGUAUUUUGUAAUAUAUCACUUUUUCCUAAUCAUAUUCUACAAAUAUGUCAUUUAUAAUAUUACUAAUAUAUAUUAUUUAUAUGCUAUAUAUAAUAUUUUAUAUAUAUAAAUAUCUAUUGUGUAAAUCAAAAAUUAAAUGGGUCAAAUAUAUUUUUUCUAUUUUUUUUUUUUUUUUUUUACAUAAAUACAAUAGUUUUAAAGUUUCAACUAUUAAAAGACUUAAUAAAAAUUGUAUUCCAUAAUCUAUUAUAUAAUCAUAUCUUUUUAAUGGUUAUAUAUUUUACAUUCUAUAAAUUUAUAUGUCUUCAGUCCCAUUUUUGCAUUCAUUAAAAAGUUAGUAUAAAGAUUUUAAUAGAAAUUAUUGUUCAAUUUUAUUGUGAAAAAAAAUAUUAGAGAUCAAAUAAAAGAAUUAAUAUUUAAGACAAAAUUAUAUCGAUGAUUACAAAAGAUACAUUAAACUAUAUUAUUUUAUUACACAUUUGUUAAUUCUAUUAAAAGACUGUACAAAAAUGCAUAAAAACUUUCAUACUAAAUACGAUUGACAUUGAGUAGGCCAGUGCAGUUUCUAUAUAAAUGUUCACGCUUUCUCGCUAUGUUAUAACAAUUAACAGUUAACAAAAACAAGAAUCGAUAUUUUUCAAAAUUGAUAUCCCUUUUGAAUAACAAGGCAUCAUUGAUUUGUGAAAAAUCGUCAUUCAUAUAACUCGCUGCCUUUUCGAUAAUUUCUUUAUUUAUUAAAUCUUUAAUAUACAUUCUAUAUCUUAUUUGUCCUUUGGUUUAUCAUUUAGUCAGACAGAAAAGUUUCUGAAUCAGAAAAUAUUUCAUUACAUUAGAAAAAUGACUGUACAAAAAGGAAAAAAAGUAGCAUUUUUAUCCUACAAUAAGAAUUAAAUAUUAUAUUAUUCGAAUUUGACUAUCUACUUAUUAUUCGAGAAAAAUCUUUUACAUCUCGAGUCUCCGUUUAUUCUUUCUUAAACUUCAAUGAAAGAUCAUAUAAAAAGAGGCUACACAGAUAUAUGGCCCAUCAAUUUUAGAAUAUUUUGCAUUUUCAUUUAUUCGAGGAUUCAAGGAAACGAUUUUAAACGAUCACAUUGAAGAAAGUGAUAUUGGCACCUAAUGGUUGAUUUAAAUCUAUCUCGCCUCUUUUCUAUGGUCCCCGGUUGAUCUUACAUUUCGCAAUUAAACGCUACUUUCACCACGACCAACCAGCGUGAUCGGAUACACGUAUUUCUUUCGUUUCGCGUUAAAGAAAGGCGAAUUAUGUUGUCCAUGCGUAGGUGUUGGCGAUAAUCCACGUAGAAGAGGUAACGAAACAUCACCGGGCAUUCCUGUCGCAUCAAAUUUCUUCUUCCAUUCUGCUCCUAAAUCCGUAGCUGGCGCCAUUAAACCUUUACAUUCUGGAGAACUUCUCACGCUGAGGAACACAUCGUUGCUGCUAUCACGUUGUCCAGAAGAACCCUGUGAAAAAAGAGAAACCUAAUUGCACCCGGUUUGACGUUUGAGAUGUCCUGGAUGAAUGGGAAGAGUUAUGCGACGAGGAAUUUUCGGACAGAUCAUCUCUGCAGCAGGCAGCCGUACAUACUCUUUGCUCUCUGCAAUUUUCCCAUUUUUAAAUAUCAUUCAAUGAUUUAUUUAUUUUAACAUGGAAUAAUAACGAAUCAAAAGGGAGGAAAAUUCUAACUACCUCCUGACGAUAACAGAGUCUCGUCUUCUUGGUACUGGCGGCGGAAGACCAGCGGUUAAGCUUUUGGCGCUUUCAUAACUCGCUUCGCUAUUACCGCUGCUUGUAUUACUCCCAUUGUUCCCUUCCCUCAGGAAGUAAUUCUUCGCCGAAAGCAUGGCGAAGUGAAGGUUGUUCUUCAAGUCGUCCGCCGCCGUUGACAAGUUUCCCGAGAUUUUUGGUGUGCGUCUCAUCGGGCGAGGUGGUGGUACCGGAGAUGGUGGACUGCUCGACGCCUCCGACAACGUUUCCGGUGUGGCCAAUGGCGCCGUUCGAGAAUUGUCGUCCCAAUCGCUUCGACGAUUCGAUCUUCGCAUUCAAAAGAAAAAAAUGAUCUUUAACACAGUUCUUGAAAUUAAUCAGGGAAAUAAAAAAAUUAAAACUGCAGCCAAAAAACAACAUUUUACUCUUCAAAGAUGAAUAGGAGGAGAAAAUAAGAUUUCUUUUUAUUGGAAUAAAAUGUUCCUCUUGAGCUGCGAAUUUUUUGAAGAUAAAAUUUUCCGUUCUAUAAUCUGAUGGAAUGCAAUGAUUUAUGUGCAUAAUUGUCGAAGCGGUGAAAACUGUGAGCCAUGAAAAAUAAGCGAGUGUUAAUGAGAGCGUGACAUAUGAGAUACCUUGAAAUAUGUGGAACGAUAUAUUUUUGAUUAUUUAUAGGCGCGAAUGACUUGAACGAGAUCAGAAACGUAACGUUUCAAACAUAAUUAGACAGGUAACGGAAAUUAUUCAAUGAUUCUCGCAAAGUACAAUGCGAAUCAUAAUAUAAGAAACGGAAUAUUCUCUUGACCGAGAAAGAGUUUAUCAAAACGAUCAAUUUGAUUGCAAGAAAAUGUCAAUCGUUAUCUCGUCAAUGGCUCUCUCUUCUUUGCUCUAAAAGUCCUCAUCGUGAAUCUAAUUCGUUAUAUUCGGCGUCGACUAAUGACCAAAUCCUUCGUCACGGAACGGCAGUUCGUCGUCCAGUUCGUUAAAAUUGUCUAUUCUUACGAUUUACUCUCGUCGGCCCUGGGCGUGUUGAGCAAUUCGCUGGCCAGACUGACGUACUCCCAUGGAAUCCCUCUCGAGUCGACGCUCAGCUCCCGGCCAGCCUGAGGGAAUUCCGAGGGGCUUUGGAGGGACGUGAAGCUCGUCUCUAGGCAGAGUUUGUGCGGUGGCGUCCCAGCCAUGUUGCUAGGAUGCGAUUUAACGGGGCUUGAGGACGAGAGCAACGCUCUCAUCUCCUGCUCGAUCUCCAUCUCCUGGACCUCGCCGGUCUCCCGUGCCUCCGACGCCUCCGUCGACGAUGCAUGACCGGAAGCUAACCUCUGCGGCUUCACCGGCCCCAGGGUCGUUACAACCUGACAUAUCCACACGCGUGUUUCCAAUGUAAUCGUUUCAUCUUGCCUUCGCCGACAAUUUCCGCAUUACUUCGUGUUAUGACAGUUAAUGAUGAAAACAAUAUCUUAUUGUGAUUCAAGAAGCAAAUUUUAUUUUGAUCGAUGUUUGGUAAAUAUAUAUGGUGUAUAUUGAUAUACACAAAUGUGGCAUCGUGAUGCGUGAUAAUGACGGAUGAUUAUGUUGCGUGUACAUCGAAAUUUUUCAUUAUGAAAAGAAGGAAAGAUUGAAUUUGAUGUAAGAUAAGAUAAAAGGGUAAAGAUUCGUAGUCGUUUUUUCCGAUUCAAUUUUGUAUAGUGUCUUCGUUAUUAUAUAUUGAAAAAAUUAAUUUAUAAUAUAAAUUUCUUUCCUUUACUUCUCCAUUAUUUACAUUUUGAAAUUUUAAAUUUAAUAUUCAAGCAGUUGGUGCAAAUCAAUGAUCAAUCAACACGUAAGGAGAUUAUUUUAUUAAUUUAAAUAAGAUUUUUGUCAUUAUUAAUAUAUAUAUAUAUAUAUAUAUAUAUAUAUAUAUAUAUAUAUAUAUAUAUAUAUAUAUAAGAUAAAAAUAAGAAUAGAUAUGUCUUUCAUCGAAACGAAAAUUUAAACGUUGAUUUUAAGAUUAUUUCGAAGAGGAUAAAUUAUUGAAAUAUUUUUCUACUCUGCUAAUCUUUUUAAAAAAAUAUUUCUAAAUAUGAUUCUUCUAUUGGAAAUAGAGAAAAAAACUUUAUAUAUCUCGAAAGUAAUUUUGACGAAAAAAAAUCGAGAAUUUUGUAAUUUAAUGUUACGAAAAAAAAAAUGAAUAAAAAUGUCUAAUUUUCAUUAAUUUAAUAUGAAAAUUCUUAGAGAAUAUUCAUGAAAAAUUUUACAUGAAUAAAAAAAUUUAAUAAAUAUUAACGAAAUGUCGCUUACAUACAUUUAGAAUUCUUAAAAGCGAAUUUUUUUUAUUUAUAAUGUAGUUAAAGUUUAAAAAAAUGCAAUUUUAUGAUAAAAUAUGAACGUGAAUUGUUAUUUUUUCCACGAUGACGAAAAAACAUUAGAGUAUUUAAAUAUUCAAUACAUAUAUUUAACACAUAUUUGUAUUAAAUUUAUAUGAUAUUAAACUUAAUUAUUAAAUAUUAGAAAUUAAAAAUCAAAUACGAUGAUUAUGAUAAACUAAAUGCGUAGGUGCACAUGCAUGAAUUGAAUGGCAAAUAAACAUUCAAGAAUACCUAUAUCGACUUUAUCUACAAGUUUAUCGUUACGAUUUACGUACGAUGUCACGAUAUAAAACUAUAUGUCUAAGUGAACUUGCAAUACGUACGUAUCACAUUUUUCGAAGCAAAUUUCGAGCGAACAAAUGUAAAUGAACGAUUAUGAACGUGGUGUUCAGAAAUUGUGAUCAUAAAUAAUAUGUGGUCACAUGCUAUAAUAUAAUCAAAAACGAUCUUGCAGAUUGGCCUGCAAUCGUGAUGAUGAACGAGAUAAUCGUUGGCUGGAAUUUUUUGGUCGCUGUAGAGGAGACCGUCGAUUUUGACGUCUUAUAAUGUAAUAAAUAACACAAAAUAUUUUAAAAAUUGAUGGAGUAUAUCUAAUCUACUAUUCUACUAUAAAUACUAAAAUAAGCCUAAUAAUUAUCUCUUACUUUAACACUCUAUACUAACUAACUUUUACGUUAUAAUACCUUAAAUAAACAAUUAUAAUUUCAA
Apis cerana (Asiatic honeybee) is the source of this 5502-nucleotide RNA transcript. It is a transcript of the gene named protein Asterix, with no coding region annotated. Lineage: Eukaryota; Metazoa; Arthropoda; Insecta; Hymenoptera; Apidae. The record is from RefSeq and is a predicted model, not a curated record.